GUAGUUUACUACAGAAAAUGACUGAGCGGCGAACGGGUGAGUAACGCGUGAGCAAUCUACCUUAGUUACAGGGAUAGCCCGAGGAAACUCGGAUUAAUACCUGAUAUUCUUUAUAUUUCGCAUGAAAUUAAAAGGAAAGGUCAGCCGAACUAAGAUGAGCUCGCGUUCUAUCAGCUAGUUGGUGAGGUAAAAGCUUACCAAGGCUACGACGGAUAGCUGGUCUGAGAGGACGAUCAGCCACACUGGGACUGAGACACGGCCCAGACUCCUACGGGAGGCUGCAGCAGGGAAUAUUGCGCAAUGAGCGAAAGCUUGACGCAGCGACACCGCGUGUGGGAUGACGGAUCUAGGUUUGUAAACCACUUUCAGGAGGGAAGAAAAUGACGGUACCUCCACAAGAAGCCCCGGCCAACUACGUGCCAGCAGCCGCGGUAAUACGUAGGGGGCGAGCGUUGUCCGGAUUUAUUGGGCGUAAAGAGCUCGUAGGCGGUUCAACAAGUCGGUCGUGAAAGUUCAGGGCUCAACCCUGAAAUGUCGAUCGAUACUGUUGUGACUAGGAUACGGUAGAGGUGAGUGGAAUUCCGAGUGUAGCGGUGAAAUGCGUAGAUAUUCGGAGGAACACCAAUUGCGAAGGCAGCUCACUGGGCCGCUAUCGACGCUGAGGAGCGAAAGCUAGGGGAGCAAACAGGAUUAGAUACCCUGGUAGUCCUAGCUGUAAACGAUGGAUACUAGACGUAGGAACUGGAUUGACGGUUUCUGUGUCGC
This 765-nucleotide ribosomal RNA is filed under the name uncultured bacterium. RNAcentral describes it as "bacterial SSU rRNA". It matches the Rfam family "Bacterial small subunit ribosomal RNA", at positions 70 to 849 of the family's 1533-position model. The record is from RNAcentral.